RNAcentral lists this ribosomal RNA (424 nucleotides) under uncultured bacterium. RNAcentral describes it as "bacterial SSU rRNA". It matches the Rfam family "Bacterial small subunit ribosomal RNA", at positions 355 to 796 of the family's 1533-position model. The record is from RNAcentral.
UGAGGAAUAUUGGACAAUGGGCGAAAGCCUGAUCCAGCUAUGCCGCGUGAGUGAAAAAGGCCUUCGGGUUGUAAAGCUCUUUUAGUGGGGAAGAUGAUGACGUUACCCACAGAAAAAGUCCCGGCUAACUCUGUGCCAGCAGCCGCGGUAAUACAGAGGGGACAAGCGUUAUUCGGAUUUAUUGGGCGUAAAGGGUGCGUAGGCGGUUGUGUAAGUUAAAAGUGAAAUCCUGCGGCUUAACCGCAGAACUGCUUUUAAUACUGCACGGCUAGAGUUAAAGAGAGGAUAGUGGAAUUCCUAGUGUAGAGGUGAAAUUCGUAGAUAUUAGGAGGAACACCGGUGGCGAAGGCGGCUAUCUGGCUUUAUACUAACGCUGAGGCACGAAAGUGUGGGGAGCAAACAGGAUUAGAUACCCGGGUAGUCC